Molecule: ribosomal RNA, 372 nt
Filed under: uncultured organism
Description: bacterial SSU rRNA
Rfam family: Bacterial small subunit ribosomal RNA
Source: RNAcentral
CAGAGGGUGCAAGCGUUGCUCGGAAUCAUUGGGCGUAAAGGGUAGGUAGGUGGUCUCAUUUGUCUGGGGUGAAAGCCUUGAGCUUAACUCGAGAAGUGCCCCGGAAACGGUGAGACUGGAGUCUUGGAGAGGCUAGCGGAAUUCCCGGUGUAGCGGUGAAAUGCGUAGAGAUCGGGAGGAACACCAGAGGCGAAGGCGGCUAGCUGGACAAGUACUGACACUCAACUACGAAAGCGUGGGGAGCAAACAGGAUUAGAUACCCUGGUAGUCCACGCCGUAAACGAUGGGUACUAGGUUUGAUGGGUCUUGACCCCCUUCGAACCGGCGCUAACGCACUAAGUACCCCGCCUGGGAAGUACGGUCGCAAGACUA